AGUGAACGCUGGCGGCAGGCCUAACACAUGCAAGUCGAGCGGUAGAGAGGAGCUUGCUCCUCUUGAGAGCGGCGGACGGGUGAGUAAUGCCUAGGAAUCUGCCUGGUAGUGGGGGAUAACGUUCGGAAACGGACGCUAAUACCGCAUACGACCUUCGGGUGAAAGCAGGGGACCUUCGGGCCUUGCGCGAUUGAAUGAGCCGAUGUCGGAUUAGCUAGUUGGUGGGGUGAUGGCUCACCA
Molecule: ribosomal RNA, 240 nt
Filed under: Pseudomonas sp.
Lineage: Bacteria; Pseudomonadati; Pseudomonadota; Gammaproteobacteria; Pseudomonadales; Pseudomonadaceae
Description: partial 16S ribosomal RNA
Rfam family: Bacterial small subunit ribosomal RNA
Source: RNAcentral